Molecule: non-coding RNA, 2988 nt
Organism: Candidatus Kaiserbacteria bacterium
Lineage: Bacteria; Candidatus Kaiseribacteriota
Source: Rfam
CACGAGUAACCGCAAGGCAAGUGAGAUUCUUGCCCGCCGAAAGAACAAGGUUUCCUUCGCAAUGGAGAUCAUCGAAGGGUUAGUCGGUCCUAAGCCAAUGGCGAAUGCCGCAGGCGAUGGAUACACGGUUAAUAUUCCGUGACUUGUGUGUAGAGUGAUGGAGGGACGGAGUGUAGUAACACAGGCCCGUUAUUGGAUUCGGGUCCAUGUUGUGAGUGUGUCGUAUAGGUAAAUCCGUACGAUAAAUGCAAGCAAUGUGGAAAACUGGAGAUUCGUCGAAAGGAAUCUGUGCGAGCACGCUUCCAAGAAAAACUUCUAAACUUAUCUGCAUACAAUCCGUACCGCAAACCGACACAGGUGUUCAGGGCGAGUAGCCCAAGGCGAACGGGUGAGAGAUCCUCAAGGAACUCGGCAAAAAAGCGGGCGUACGUUCGCAAUAAGCCCUGCCAUUCGUAAGAAUGGCUGCAAAUAAUUAUUCCCAGGCGACUGUUUACCAAAAACACAGCUCCCUGCGAACUCGUAAGAGGAUGUAUAGGGGGUGAUGCCUGACCAAUGCCGGAAGGUCAAAUGUGGAGGGUGUGUGCUCGCAAGAGCAUAUGCUGGACUACAUAAGCCCCGGUCAAUGUCGGCGAUAACUAUAAGAUGAUUGUAGUUAUAAAAUUCAGCUAUAUGUUCCCGAUUUACCCAAACGCUUUGCGUUUGGUUGCAAACCGCAAUCCCUUCGGCCUUUGCGCUGUGUGGAAAAGAGAAAUCGGGAAACUGCUGGUCACGUCAUGUCGAUGUAAAAGUCGGAAUGAUGGAAGGCCGGUGGGACUGGAAACUCCGAGUAUCCAACGGUACCGCAAGGUGACAAUCCGUUGGUGCGGACAAUCAGCAGGGAAGAUUCACGAAAAUGAAAACCCUCAGAGACUAUACGCUGAACUCGCUUCUCUUAAUUGAGAAAAGCGAGAUGAUAUAGUCCGGCCUCUAUGGCGACAUAGAGAAUUACGUGUAGCUACUGUUUUCGCACGUAGAUUAACAUAGGCAAAUCGUCCUAAGGUUUCGCGUUUCUCGAAAGAGGAGCGCGGAAGGACUAGGACUAUUUGUACUGUGGGCCAUUCAGAACGCUGCCUAUCCGUGAGAACGGAUGUCCAUAAAUAUCUGACUAUAUGCUGGAAACUCCGAGUAUCUUUAAGUACUCGUCCGAAAGGGCAGUGAAAAUCUUGAAGUGCGGACAAUCAGCAGGAAAGACUCACAAAAUCACGUGCUAUAAUUGGACGUAUGAACACACCGCCAAGUAUUGGAUGGUAUUUGUCUGGAUUCAGCGAUGGUGAGGGAAGCUUUAAUGUUUCUCUCCGCCAAAGACCGGAUCACAAACUACAGUGGCAAGUGGUGCUUACGUUCAAUGUAGCCCAAAGAGAUGUCACCAAUCUUCUGCUUCUGCAGGAACAUCUGCAGUGUGGCAGGUUACAAAGACGAAGUGAUGGAGUCCAUUACUUUGUCGUGACGAAUUACGUCGAAAUCGUAGAAAAGGUGUUUCCGUUUUUCGAACGGUUUCCCUUUCAAUCCGAAUCUAAAACCAAAAACUUUGCGUUGUUCAAGCAAAUCGCGGCUAUCGUAUAUUCCGGAGAGCAUCUAGCUCGUAAGGGGUUUAUGAGAAUCAUUGAAUUGCGAGAAAAACUCAACGAAGGGAGAGGAAGGAAACGGAAAUACGAAAAACAAGAUGUAGUCGAAGAUUUUGAGAGAAUCCUCAGAAACCAAACGUCAGACAAGCAGAAACUUUCUGCCUGAAGAUAGAGUUCGGGCCCUGUAGCGAUAUGGGGAAGGAGACCCUAGCGAAAUUCCUUGUCCAGUAAGUUUGGACGCGCACGAAUGGUAUAACGACUUGGGAACUGUCUCGAGGAUUUGCCCGGUGAAAAUACAAGGUCGGUGAAGAUGCCGACUUCCUGCAGCUAGACGAAAAGACCCCAGAAGCUUUACUGUAAUUUGGUAUUGUGGAUACGAUUUUUCUGCGUAGCGUAAGAGGGAGACUUUGAAGCGACGACCUCGGUUGUCGUGGAGUCGCCAAUGCAACACCUCUCUUAAAAAUUGUGUUUACUAACCUCUGCGGCAAAACCGUAGAGAGACAGUACCUGAUGGACAGUUUCGGUGGGGCGCUGUCCUUAACAUUAGGGAUUAGGUUUUAGGGUAUAGGGUUUAGUAAAUCCAACUAGAAUCUGAUUCCGGCGCCUAUGGCUGUUAUCCGCAGUCAGAAAAAUAAAAGGGGGACCUGUGCGAGUAAUCGUGCAGAGCAAAAUUGGCUAUAUCGGUGAAUAUCUCUCGCAAGAGAGACAAUACCUAGGGAAGUCGUAUCAAUUUUGAAUGACGAAUUUUUAAUUUCGAUUCAAUGUUUUAAACAUUUGAAUUUCGAAAUUGAUUCAAAAUUCGGAAAUCAGAAUUCAAAAUUCGUAUUGACCCCGUAGAGACUACACGCCAAUCAACCGCAUCGCGGUUGGUAAUAUAGUCCGAACUCCAUGGCGACAUGGAGAGGCAGGCAGAAAUGACCUGUCCAUGUUACAUUGCACUUAUUACUGCGACUGUCUGCGUACAGUCUGCGUGAAUCUGCGCUUUGUACGAAGUAACAAAGAGCCUAAAAAGUAUCGGAGGAGCCUAUUAUGGUCAGCUAGGCGCGAAUGGAAACCGUGCCGAUAGUGCAUUGGCAAAAGCUGGCUUGACUGCGAGGCGUACGUGCCGAGCAGGUACGAAAGUAGAGCAAAGUGAACCGCUGGUCCGCAUUAGACGCGGCCAAAGAUUAACGGAUAAAAGUUACUCUGGGGAUAACAGGCUGGUUUCGCCUAAGAGUCCAAAUCGACGGCGAAGUUCGGCACCUCGAUGUCGGCUCAUCUUAGCGCGGAGGUGGAGAAGCUUCCAAGCGUAUGGCUGUUCGCCAUUUAAAAAGGUACGUGAGCUGGGUUAGACGGAAGUUGGGCCCAGUGAUCCAUAGCAUCGAGAGAAACGUAGCAUGACCAA